RNAcentral lists this transfer RNA (73 nucleotides) under Capra hircus (goat). It matches the Rfam family "tRNA". From Rfam's summary of the family: Transfer RNA (tRNA) molecules are approximately 80 nucleotides in length. Their secondary structure includes four short double-helical elements and three loops (D, anti-codon, and T loops). RNAcentral also lists the same sequence under 1 other name. Lineage: Eukaryota; Metazoa; Chordata; Mammalia; Artiodactyla; Bovidae. The record is from Rfam by way of RNAcentral.
UCCCUGGUGGUCCAGCGGUUAAGACUCUGCAUUCCCAGUGCAGAGGGACUGGGUUCGAUCCCUGGUCAGGGAA